Molecule: ribosomal RNA, 554 nt
Filed under: Rhizophagus sp. LPA8-CH3
Lineage: Eukaryota; Fungi; Glomeromycota; Glomeromycetes; Glomerales; Glomeraceae
Description: SSU rRNA
Rfam family: Eukaryotic small subunit ribosomal RNA
Source: RNAcentral
AAGUCUGGUGCCAGCAGCCGCGGUAAUUCCAGCUCCAAUAGCGUAUAUUAAAGUUGUUGCAGUUAAAAAGCUCGUAGUUGAAUUUCGGGGUCAGUAGGUUGGUCAUGCCACUGGUAUGUACUGGUCUCACUGAUUCCUCCUUCCUGAUGAGCCGUAAUGCCAUUAAUUUGGUGUUGCGAGGAAUCUGGACUGUUACUUUGAAAAAAUUAGAGUGUUUAAAGCAGGCUAACGCUUGAAUACAUUAGCAUGGAAUAAUGAAAUAGGACGUUCGAUCUUAUUUUGUUGGUUUCUAAGAUUGACGUAAUGAUUAAUAGGGAUAGUUGGGGGCAUUAGUAUUCAAUUGUCAGAGGUGAAAUUCUUGGAUUUAUUGAAGACUAACUACUGCGAAAGCAUUUGCCAAGGAUGUUUUCAUUAAUCAAGAACGAAAGUUAGGGGAUCGAAGACGAUCAGAUACCGUCGUAGUCUUAACCAUAAACUAUGCCGACUAGGGAUCGGAUGAUGUUAAUUUUUUAAUGACUCAUUCGGCGCCUUACGGGAAACCAAAGUGUUUGGGU